CACUCACUCACACACACACAACCAGUCACAUAGUCACACACACACUGACAGACACACAUACUCACACACACACUGACAGACACACUCACUCACACACACACUGACAGACACACUCACUCACACACACACUGACAGACACACUCACUCACACACACACUGACAGACAUACUCACUCACACACACACACACAAACUCACAUAGUCACACACACACUGGCAGAC
Non-coding RNA from Pelobates cultripes (western spadefoot toad), 221 nucleotides. The record is from the annotation of a GenBank genome assembly. Lineage: Eukaryota; Metazoa; Chordata; Amphibia; Anura; Pelobatidae.